Phascolarctos cinereus (koala) is the source of this 1228-nucleotide long non-coding RNA. RefSeq lists it as uncharacterized. NCBI's taxonomy places the organism in Eukaryota, Metazoa, Chordata, Mammalia, Diprotodontia, Phascolarctidae. The record is from RefSeq and is a predicted model, not a curated record.
UAGUGCAGUAAGAAACAUGGCAGUUUGAUGAAACAUGGUGGAGACAGCGGCUGAAAUGGAAGCAUAUGUUCUAGAAGACAUUCUGGAGUGAAGAAUUGUCAAUCGAGGGGUGCCUAUCAUUUGGAGGAUGCCAUGUGAAUUCUGAUUUCAGAGAAACCUUAGAGGACCAACCAUCAAUGAUAAUUCGUGCAAGAUGAAGAAUGAAACUCGUGGAGGACUUGACCAGGGAAGAGUGGGGAAGAGUGAUACAAAAAAGAAAAUGGAAAGGAAUGCGCAGAAGAAAACAAAGUGCUUCAGAAGUAAACAUAGAGCAACUGGGCAUACCUAAUGAACCGAAUUGCAUGUAAUGAAAAUGAGCAGUUUCACAUGCAGUUCUUUUUUUAUAAUAUUUGUCAAAUUCAUACCACCCACAUCUUAUUGGGCACAUUUACCCAAUAUAUCAGUUUUUGAAGUUUGAAGCAAAAGUUCUUUGUCUAUCUUCCCCCCCCCCCCCCCGUUUCACUGAAGUAUGUACCAGUGAAUCUUCCCCAGUGCCUUACACAAUAUUCUUCAUACAAAACAUGCCAGUGUUUCUAUUAACAUUUGUAAAAGCUUUCACUAAUUCCCACUGGAGUUUCUUGUCCUACCCGAGUCCCUUAGGAAAAAUAAAGUUUUUCCGCAUAAACUCCUAGAAUUUCAAAGAUAGCUUCCCUUCUCAAAAUUCAAAAAAAGCUUCAACUUCACUUUAGAGAAAAAAAGAGAUCAAAUCUUUGAUUAUAAUCAUUGUAGAGGGAGUACCCAGUAUGCAAGCUCAGUUCUCUGGGUUUUAGAUUUACGGCUUACAAUGCCUUAGGGUAGUUAAGUGACUUUUCUAUACACUUAGAAUGUGUGUGGGUGGGACAUCGAUUUUUCUAACUCUUCAGCCUAAGUGGGUAUGUUUAAGAAGGGAACCUGAAGUAUACUGAUACACAUACAAAAGUCAGUAGCCAAAUAAAAUGAUUAUUUGUGCAGUGAUAGGCGAGAAAAUAAAGUUAUAUUCAGUGUAAGAUUAGCUAGUGGUUCUCUGAACUGGCUCACAAGCAUGUCUUCAUUCUUCUCCUGCAUACACCUAGAGUAUAUUCACCCCACCCUUCUGUUCUAUUUUAGAAUGUAAGCUCCUUGAGGGCAGAGAUUGUCUAUUUGUCUUCUCAGUGAACCUGCCACCAUUGCUUAUUUAGUAAAUUUCAUCAGAAUAAACUUUCAUAAUAAA